This 252-nucleotide non-coding RNA is filed under the name Ipomoea nil (Japanese morning glory). RNAcentral describes it as "Eukaryotic small subunit ribosomal RNA". It matches the Rfam family "Eukaryotic small subunit ribosomal RNA", at positions 1213 to 1485 of the family's 1831-position model. Lineage: Eukaryota; Viridiplantae; Streptophyta; Magnoliopsida; Solanales; Convolvulaceae. The record is from Rfam by way of RNAcentral.
ACUAACCAAAGGACCAUGUGAAAAAAAACUCUCCACUGAGAGCUCUUUCGAGAUUCUAUAGGUGGUGGUGCAUGGCCGUUCUUAAUUGGUGGAGCGAUUUGUUUGGUUAAUUCCGUUAACGAACAAGACCUCAGCCUGCUAACUAGCUAUGCGGAGGUAUCCCUCCGCGGCCAGCUUCUUAGAGGGACUAGGCCUUUCAAGCCGCGGAAGUUUGAGGCGAUAACAGGUCUGUGAUGCCCUUAGAUGUUCUGG